UAAAUUUCUGUGGAACUUGUUCAGUUUGUCUCAGUUGUUGAAUCUUGUUAUGUUCAUACAAAUAUUUACACAUGUUAGGUUUACUCAAAAUGAACGCAGUUGACAGUUAGAGGACUUUCCUUUUUUUUGCCGAGUUUAUUAUGGGUUGAAAAUACAAGGUAUUAACAAAAUGUCCUCAUUAGGGAAAUGAGCGCAAUAUUCAAUAUGGCAAAAUAAUGAAACAUGUAAAUUUAAGAUGAUUGUGUCAAACUAUUGCAACAAUGACAUCUAUUUCUCACUAAUUUAAUGAUUUAGUGUUAAAAAAAAUGCUCUCAAACAAUUACACCGGGCGUUCUAGACUAAAGCCUCUGUCUGUGCAGUAGACGGAAUGUUUGCUGUCCCUACUAGUAGUAGUUGCCAGUUGUAUCUAAUUCUGUGUUAUGAAUGGUAACUAGGUCUAAUGUUCUUAGUCUACCACUAAUAGAAGACCCCUCACUGUUCGCAGAUAAAGGUCUUGGUCGGCAGAAGAAUGGUAUGUGAUGCUAUCAUAGUGAAUGUGGCAAGGGAGGGGGGGGGACAUCUUCUAGACUGGAAGUGGAAUUUGGAGAGAAUGGUGUGCAGGUGAAGAAGUUGGUUGAGGAGGAAGAGGAAGGAAUGAUUUCCAACCAGCAGCCAACGAAAGCCAUGCUGGGAAGAGAAACUUUAUGGAUGCUUUGUGAAGUCUGCCACCCUCCUGGCAGGACUGGAGCAGCCAGAGUAGAAGUCUUCCAGUACAGAUGACAGCAGCAGCUCUGACGAUGAGGACCAGAGACUGGAACUCUCCAGCACCACCAAGCUUGUGGAGGACGCACCGCUCACAAGUAAGUAUUUUGCUUGUCACCAAUAAGUUUGUAAUAAACCAUAAACAAAUCACA
Long non-coding RNA from Oncorhynchus kisutch (coho salmon), 893 nucleotides. RefSeq lists it as uncharacterized. The record is from RefSeq and is a predicted model, not a curated record. NCBI's taxonomy places the organism in Eukaryota, Metazoa, Chordata, Actinopteri, Salmoniformes, Salmonidae. The transcript has 4 exons.